Molecule: ribosomal RNA, 712 nt
Filed under: uncultured bacterium
Lineage: Bacteria
Description: bacterial SSU rRNA
Rfam family: Bacterial small subunit ribosomal RNA
Source: RNAcentral
GCGAGCGGCGGAUGGGUGAGUAACACGUGGGGAACCUGCCCCAUAGUCUAGGAUACCACUUGGAAACAGGUGCUAAUACCGGAUAAGAAAGCAGAUCGCAUGAUCAGCUUUUAAAAGGCGGCGUAAGCUGUCGCUAUGGGAUGGCCCCGCGGUGCAUUAGCUAGUUGGUAAGGUAAAGGCUUACCAAGGCGAUGAUGCAUAGCCGAGUUGAGAGACUGAUCGGCCACAUUGGGACUGAGACACGGCCCAAACUCCUACGGGAGGCAGCAGUAGGGAAUCUUCCACAAUGGACGCAAGUCUGAUGGAGCAACGCCGCGUGAGUGAAGAAGGUUUUCGGAUCGUAAAGCUCUGUUGUUGGUGAAGAAGGAUAGAGGUAGUAACUGGCCUUUAUUUGACGGUAAUCAACCAGAAAGUCACGGCUAACUACGUGCCAGCAGCCGCGGUAAUACGUAGGUGGCAAGCGUUGUCCGGAUUUAUUGGGCGUAAAGCGAGCGCAGGCGGAAGAAUAAGUCUGAUGUGAAAGCCCUCGGCUUAACCGAGGAACUGCAUCGGAAACUGUUUUUCUUGAGUGCAGAAAGAGGAGAGUGGAACUCCAUGUGUAGCGGUGGAAUGCGUAGAUAUAUGGAAGAACACCAGUGGCGAAGGCGGCUCUCUGGGUCUGCAACUGACGCUGAGGCUCGAAAGCAUGGGUAGCGAACAGGAUUAGAUACCC